This 2884-nucleotide long non-coding RNA is filed under the name Marmota monax (woodchuck). The record is from RNAcentral. Lineage: Eukaryota; Metazoa; Chordata; Mammalia; Rodentia; Sciuridae.
CAUCCUUAUCUUUGUUGGCAUUUGAAGUUCUGUCUUUAUGGGAAGUGAUGCUGUAACCAAAUUUAUGAUGAAAAAAUGAGCUACCUACCUAGUAGAUGUCCUGCAGAGCUCAUCCAACUAGAACAAAAUAUUCCCCAUCGAAAUGAGAGUGGUAGAAGAAGAAAACAUCCCAAUGUGAAAUGUUUUCCUUUAGAGAUUUAUACCUAGCCCAAGAGAAGAAUAACCAAUUGCAACAUCAGAGGGGUUUAUAGUUCAGAUAUUUUCUUAGAAAAUUAAAAUCCACUUAUAAAAAUUAUCAGAAUAAAAACUGCCAAGGUUAAACCAAGGUUUUACUUAGGGUUAGGAUUGUAACAUUUACAUUAUUUUUGUGUGUAUGUGCUUUUUACAUUUUAAAAUCAUGAACCUAAGGAGUAAGUUGGAGAAAUAACAUAACUGAAAGCUAUUUUGUAGCAACCUAACAUUGCUACAGAACUGAAUUUCUCCUAGAAAUUCCUUAUAGUUAUUAUUUAAUGUAAGUACUAGAUUUAUGAAGGUAAGUUCAGAGAUCCAGAAAUGAACAUAAAAUCAAUUUCACUACUAAAGUAAAGACUAUAUGGAAGUUGUUUAAAAAAAAAAAUACAUUGAGUCCACUGGAUUGGACUCAGCAGUGAGCAAGACAGAAAUUGGUCCCUGAAUGUUAAAUUUAUCUGGUGAUCCAGGUGCAGUGAUGAAUUCCCAUAAUGCCAGUGGUUCAGGAGGCUGAGACGGAGGGUCACAAGUUCAAGGCCACCCCAGCAAUUUAAUGAAGCCCUAAGCAACUUAAUGAGAACUUAUUUCAAAAUAAAAAGGUCUGGAGUUGUGGCUCAGUGGUGGAGCACCUGCUAUAAGUACAGAAAAUAUAUAACAACAUAAACUUGAGGCACUAAUCUUAACCCUUGGCAGAAUUCAGUAUCACAACUAAUUUCUAAGGUACAAAAACAUGAAGCCUAUUAACUAGAAACCACUUUUUCAUGGGCAUUUUUCCAUAUGAGAGUUCAUAGCCUUCAAAGGAACACCAGCAAUAUUAACUGCACUCCUCCUAAGAAAGAGGAAAAAGAAAUCCAUUUAUUGUAUGUAUUACAGUGCACAUUAGUGCUCUCACCCCCGCCCCACCCCUGUGGGAUCUGUGUUGUCCAGGCUGUCCUCAAACAUCUGGGCUCAAGUAAUCCACCUGCUUCAGCCUCCCAAGUAAGCUGGGACUACUGGUACAUGCCACCACACCCAGCUCAAAGGAUUUUUUUAAAAUUUGUUUUAAUUGCUUUAGGUGAUUUUCAACUAAGAGUAUUCAAUAGAACCAUCUAAAAAUUCAGCCAAGAAGUAAUAGUGUACACCUGUAAUCCCAUCAUCGGGACAUUUGAGACAGGAGGAAUAUAAAUUCAAGGCCAGCCUGAGCAACUUAGAUUGUAUCUCAAAAUAAAAUACAGAGGGCUGGGAAUGUAGCUCAAUGGUAGUCUAGCAUGCACAAAGCCCUGAGUUCAAUUCCCAGUACUGCGCAAAAAAAAAAAAAAAAGUGUUUUUGGUAAGAUUUUUAGAAAUUUUUAAAACUUAAAAUUCUGAAACCCCAACCCCAGAUCUUCCAUGGAUUGAGGGAAUCUACGAUUCAGACAUUUUGACAGGUUCUCCAAGCAAGAAAGUGGCAGUUUUACACUGUCAGCUAUAAGUAAUUUAAACUUCUCUCCCUUUAAUUCCAACUCCAUGGUCAGGGUUUAUAUUAGAUUUCAAGGGUUUUCGCUAGAAAACUGCUAUCACCAGCAGGACUGCUAUCACCUCAGCACUCUUAAUUUUCCCCAGUAUGCCCAUUCCUUAAUCUGAAGAAUUCAUAUUACUUCACAAUGCUGACCUUCCUGAACUAGAGUGUCCUAAGUACAAACUAUAUCAUAUAUCAUGUUACUUAGUUCUGUAUGCAAAAAGUGUUGUAAUCUUAGCCAUCUAUAUGUGGGAUUCACUAACAAUCUCACAUUUUUCGAGUUCGUGAUUAUUUCUGGUGGAUUCUUUUAAAUGUUUUUUUUUAAGUUGUCGAUGGACCUUUAUUUAUUCAUUUAUAUGUGGUGCUGAUAAUCAAACCUAGUAUUUCACACAUGCUAGACAAGUGUUCUAUCACUGAACCACAACCCCAGGCCCUCUGGUGGAUUCUUUUAUAAAUAAAUAAAUGUGCUAAACAUUAAAACAUUAUUAAAAGGGUUUAAAGUGAACUUUCUCCCCACCAAGAACUCUCUCUGUUUAAAUCUAUAUGGUCAAUACAGUCAAAAUAUCAUUCAGAGUGUGCAAGGGCUUACUGAUGCUUAUUUCCAUUCCUCCAAGGCUCAUCUAUCAUCCCAUGACAGCUUUCAGAGAGGAGGUUAAUCUUUGUCCAAUAAAGAAACCGAAAUGGACAACAUCCAAAUUAGUCAUUUCCAGUUAGUACAGUUUUGGGAAAAUAUACUCAACUUCUAGGCUAUAUAAAAUAUCCAUUAAGAGAAAGCUCAAGUGAGAAAAAAGUUCUUAUCUAAAAGGUGACUCAUUUUUUUAGACUGAUCUAAAUGAAAAUGGUAAAUCGGGGGGUUUUUUUGGCGGGGGAGGGGGGACAUGGUUCUAUAUCCAACUUCAGUUAUACUAUAACUUCCAUAAUAUUUACCAAAUAGAAAUAAAUUAUGAAAAAUCUUGUUGCUACUUUGCAUAUCUUGUAUUGCAGAACACAGUAAGUUGACUGCAUAAAAAAAUUUUGAGAAACAUGAAUAAAUGAACAUUCCAUUACUGAGUCUUUUGAGUAAUAAUAUAAACAGUAAUAAUAUAAAAUAAUGUAAUGUAUCUGACAAAAAUAAUUGUCUUAAGUCUGUUCGUGCUGAUUUAACAAAAUAAAUGUCAUGCACUUGAAUAAUAAUGUGGC